ACGAACGCUGGCGGCGUGCCUAACACAUGCAAGUCGAACGAGAAAGGGGCUUCGGCCCUGAGUAAAGUGGCGCACGGGUGAGUAACACGUGGGUAACCUGCCUCUAAGAUCGGGAUAACCUGUCGAAAGACGGGCUAAUACCAAAUAAGACCACAGUUUCUUCGGGAACACGGGUCAAAGGUAGCCUAUGCUUGCAAGCUAUCACUUAGAGAUGGGCCCGCGCACCAUUAGCUAGUUGGUGGGGUAACGGCCUACCAAGGCAAAGAUGGUUAGCUGGUCUGAGAGGAUGAUCAGCCACACUGGAACUGAGACACGGUCCAGACUCCUACGGGAGGCAGCAGUGGGGAAUAUUGCGCAAUGGGCGAAAGCCUGACGCAGCAACGCCGCGUGAGUGAUGAAGGCCUUCGGGUCGUAAAGCUCUGUCGGA
RNAcentral lists this ribosomal RNA (427 nucleotides) under uncultured bacterium. RNAcentral's name for it is "bacterial SSU rRNA". It matches the Rfam family "Bacterial small subunit ribosomal RNA", at positions 29 to 440 of the family's 1533-position model. The record is from RNAcentral.